Molecule: long non-coding RNA, 2332 nt
Filed under: Salmo salar (Atlantic salmon)
Lineage: Eukaryota; Metazoa; Chordata; Actinopteri; Salmoniformes; Salmonidae
Description: lncRNA (ENSSSAG00000103139.1)
Source: RNAcentral
GCUUCCACUAGAUGUCAACGAUCUUUAUAAAGUUGUUUGAAGCGUCUAUGAUAAACAGAGAGAAAAUUAGAAUCCAAGGAAGUUGACAUGUCAUCACUUCAUUUUUUUGCACCUGCGCAUAAAUCUGAGAAACGUGAGUUUUGUCUUCAUUGUUUAUCUAGACAUAGGAUAGGUUGUGUGAAAAUAUUACUGAUGUUUAACGUUAAAAAUGGACCAAAAGAUUAAUGCUAAACAACAUUUGACAUGUUUGAACGAACAUAAAUAGAUUAUUUACUAGGUUUUUUUAGCUUUUCGGGCGUGAUUUUACAGUCCCCCCACCACGUUUUGUGGGAGCAUAAAGAACGCUAAGUACUUGGUGUUAUUUGGACAUAAAUUAUGAACUUUGUCAAAAGAAACCACAUUUGUUCCGGACCUGGGAUGGCUUCCGGACCUGGGAUGCCUGCCUUCUGAUGGAGAUAAUCAAAGUCUUUUUCUCUCUCUCCCUCUAUCUGCUCUGUCUGUCUGUCUCUCUGUCUCUCUUUCUCUGUACCUGCCCCCCCCCUCUCUCUAUCUAUCUUUCACUCUCUGUCUUUCUGGAAGUGCAGUUAAGUGGAGAGGAAGUUCAGCAACUCUUGGAGGACAUUCUGAAUGGACCACCGAGACAGAGACGGGAUGACAAUGUCAACUUGGUCUCUCUGAUUAAAGUAGCUCCUUGAUAUUAAGUGGUGGCGAGGACCUGAGCCCUAGGACCAUGCCUCAGGACUACCUGGCAUGAUGACUCAUUGCUCUUCCCAGUCCACCUGGCUGCUCCAGUUUCAACUGUUCUGCCUGCGGCUAUGGAACCCUGACCUGUUCACCGGACGUACUUGUUGCACCCUCGACAACUACUAUGAUUAUUAUUAUUUGACCAUGCUGGUUAUUUAUGAACAUUUUAACAUCUUGACCAUGUUCUGUUAUAAUAUCCACCCGGCACAGCCAGAAGAGGACUGGCCACCCCUCAUAGCCUGGUUCCUCUCUAGGUUUCUUCCUAGGUUUUUGGCCUUUCUAGGGAGUUUUUCCUAGCCACCGUGCUUCUUUCACAUGCAUUGCUUGCUGUUUGGGGUUUUAGGCUGGGUUUCUGUACAGCACUUUGAGAUAUCAGCUGAUGUACGAAGGGCUAUAUAAAUACAUUUGAUUUGAUUUAGUGAAUGCGUACAUUCCUUGCAUUUUUUUUUUUGUACUGGCCCCCCGUGGGAAUUGAACCCACAACCCUGGCGUUGCACACACCAUGCUGGCAUUGCAAACAACAUUCUCUACCAACUGAGCUACAGGGAAGACCAUGUCACUGAUGGAGUGCUGAGGUUUAGAGGGUCUACACUAGAAGUUCAUGGUUAUAGGAGGAAGGUAUAUAGUGUGUGCAAUUAAGCUUGGAAUGUGCUGAGUGCAGGGAAGCAAUUGCAUGUGGCAGGCAUUGAUAAGAGGAGAGAGCCAUGGAUUAGUGAUUGAGGGGGGUUGAGGUCAGGUCAGGUCACCUUAAGGGAGAAAUAAAAGUUUAUGGCCCGUAUCACUGGUGUCCUGCCUAGCAGUAAACAACGAUGUUUGCACAGAUGGGUAGGAGGAGACUCAGUCAAUGAGGAAUGGUUAAAUAUCAGUGCUUGUGUGAAAAUGUUUUUGUCUAAUACAGCUGUAUUGAUCCUCUUGUUAAGCUUUCAUAAUGUCUGUUGAGUUUUUACUCUGAGAAUUAGAACCUAACAACGCGAAUGAAUAAUCUAUCUUCGAUGUCAAGCUUUCACUUUCUCAGAAAAAACAGGAUUCAUGUGAAAACAACACGACAGAACACACACCUUCCUUACACACCGCCCAGAAGUGGGAAACUAACCGAAUACAGAUUAAAGCACAAGUUGCUCUUUAACAUAAACUACAGAGGGGACCUGAUGACACAAACACGCUGGGUUUGGGAAUGACUUGAGCACGUGUGCAUCAGUCAUGGCAUUUUUAUACUGCCAUCACAUUGGGUGUACUGUAGUUAGUAGGACAGCAUCACUGAGAGAUAGUCAGAUUGAUUUUUCAAAAGGCUGCAGUGGUCUUUGAUAUUGAGUAUGGCAUGGAACCGAGGCAGCAGCAGCGAUACCGUUAACACUACCUUUCCGAAUAACAGGGAAAAAUAACACCAUAUCCUUGUUUACUGAGAAGACUGGAGAAGUAUCAAGGGUGUCGUGUGUAUACAGCGUUCACCUUCAAAGAUCAGUCUGGACGUUGCGUGCUUUCAGAGUUCAGAAAGGAAACACCACGUGCACAAUUAACCAUUUAUUAGAAAAGAUUACAUUAGUCUUGGAGUUAGACUCUGCUCCUUCAGGGUAGCUUACUGACAGAG